Pristis pectinata (smalltooth sawfish) is the source of this 942-nucleotide long non-coding RNA. RefSeq lists it as uncharacterized. The record is from RefSeq and is a predicted model, not a curated record. The transcript has 3 exons. Lineage: Eukaryota; Metazoa; Chordata; Chondrichthyes; Rhinopristiformes; Pristidae.
GAACUAUUGAUCUAGUAUCCUAAGGCUUGGACUAAUGGACUGAGAAUGUGAGUUCAAAUCCCUCCAUGGUAGUUGUGAAAUUUAAACAUGUUAACUGAAUAAUCCAGGAAAGAUAGCUGGUAUCGUGACAUUUAAAAUCAAGUCCAAAAUUUUUGCCCUGAGUGACCUGACAAAUGUGUUCAGAAUGUUCCAGAAGCAGGGCUUCAGGGCACCUUGCCUAAGGCCAAGAUGGCAGUUGGAUACCCCAUACUCUUCCUCAUCUGAAUCUCCUGCUCUCAUGGAGCGUGGUAACAGGCCCUUCCGGCCCAACAAGUCUGCACCACCCAGUUUAAACCCCAGUUAACCUACCCGUACGUCUUUGCAAUGUGGGAGGAAACCGGAGCACCUGGAGGAAACCCAUGCAGACACGGGAGAACGUACAAACUCCUUACAGACAGCGAUGGGAAUCAAACCCCGAUCGUUGGCGCUGUAAUAGCGUUGCGCUAACCGCUACGCUACCGUGCCUAUCUAGAUAUUUAUCACACCACUUCCUGUGGGAUCUUGCUGAACAUGCCUGCAGUGCUUCCUCCAUUGUAACAGUGACUACACUUCAAAAGUACUUUAUUGAUCAUUAAGUGUAUUGGAGUAACAUGAAGCCACGAGAGAUGCUAUAUAAAUGCAAGUUUUGUUCUUCCUGAUUCUUGAAUGGGUGUCAAGAAGACUAGAAUACUCUUGCAUAGUGUCACUCUCACUCUCCAGUAGCCCAUUGACACUCCAAAAAUAAGACUCUAGUGAGAUGUACGACUUCCCAGAUGAGAUGAGAUCAUACUUGGCAUUUAUGCUUUGAAUUGAGUGUCAAGCAGAAAUUCCCAACUCUUCCCCCACCCCCCUCCCACCCCGACCCUGACUCCUUUGUAACCACAAUAUACAAGGAAAGUCGUUACCUGGUGUGAAGUCAAGCGA